RNAcentral lists this ribosomal RNA (459 nucleotides) under uncultured bacterium. RNAcentral's name for it is "partial 16S ribosomal RNA". It matches the Rfam family "Bacterial small subunit ribosomal RNA", at positions 338 to 795 of the family's 1533-position model. The record is from RNAcentral.
CCUACGGGUGGCAGCAGUGAGGAAUAUUGGUCAAUGGGCGCGAGCCUGAACCAGCCAAGUCGCGUGAGGGAAGAAGGUACUAUGGAUUGUAAACCUCUUUUGUCGGGGAGCAAAGGCCGCCACGCGUGGCGUUCUGAGAGUACCCGAAGAAAAAGCAUCGGCUAACUCCGUGCCAGCAGCCGCGGUAAUACGGAGGAUGCGAGCGUUAUCCGGAUUUAUUGGGUUUAAAGGGUGCGCAGGCGGAAGAUUAAGUCAGCGGUAAAAUUGAGAGGCUCAACCUCUUCGAGCCGUUGAAACUGGUGUGCUUGAGUGAGUGAGAAGUAUGCGGAAUGCGUGGUGUAGCGGUGAAAUGCAUAGAUAUCACGCAGAACUCCGAUUGCGAAGGCAGCAUACCGGCGCUCAACUGACGCUGAGGCACGAAAGUGUGGGUAUCGAACAGGAUUAGAUACCCGAGUAGUC